RNAcentral lists this ribosomal RNA (953 nucleotides) under Alexandrium fundyense. RNAcentral's name for it is "LSU rRNA". It matches the Rfam family "Eukaryotic large subunit ribosomal RNA", at positions 1 to 905 of the family's 3401-position model. The record is from RNAcentral. Lineage: Eukaryota; Dinophyceae; Gonyaulacales; Pyrocystaceae.
GCUUAGCAUGAAGUGAAGCACAUACACCUGCUGAGUUUAAGCAUAUAAGUAAGUGGUGGAAAUUAAACCAAAUGGGAUAUCUUUAGUAAUUACGACUGAACAAGGAUAUGCUUAGCUUGACAAAUGGAGCUAUUGGCUUUGAAUUGUAUUGUGGAAAUGUAUUACCAACAGAGGUGCAGGUGCCAGCAUAUUGAAAUAAAGCGUCAAUGAGGUUGAGAAUCCUGUUUGCCAUGUGCAGCCCUUUGUGCACGGUGUAUAUUUGCUGAGUCACACUCCUUGGCAUUGGAAUGCAAAGUGGGUGGUAAGUUUCAUGUAAAGGUAAACAUGCAAUUGAGACUGAUAGCACACAAGUACCAUGAGGGAAAUAUGAAAAGGACUUUGAAAAGAGAAUUAAAUGAGUUUGUAUUUGCUGAACACAAAGUAAACAGACUUGAUUUGCUUGGUGGGAGUGUUGCACUUGCUUGACAAGAGCUUUGGGCUGUGGGUGUAAUGAUUCUUUCUUUGCAUGCCAGUUUCUAUUUGUACAUCUGAUUACCUUUGCACAUGAAUGAUAAGUCUCCUGUGGGGGGUGGAUUGCAUGUGCAUGUAAUGAUUUGUGUUUUGAUACAUGUGUCUGGUGUAUGUGUGUGUGUUCCUGUGCUUGGGGAUGCUUCCUUCCUUGGACUUACAAGCCCUGACACACACAUGCUGGCAAAAUGCUUCUGCUUGACCCGUCUUGAAACACGGACCAAGGAGUCUAACAGAUGUGCAAAGUUUGAAGGUGGUAUACCUUUGUGUGCAAUGAAAGUGUCAGCUGGGAUAUGUGCACCAGCACCCAAUUAAUUAGCGGACAGAGGUUUGAGUUGGAGCAUAUCUAUUAGGACCCGAAAGAUGGCGAACUAUGCCUGAACAGAAUGAAUUCAGAGGAAACUAUGAUGGGGGUUCGUAUCGUUACUGACGUGCAAAUCGUUCGU